CAAUAGCGUAUAUUAAAGUUGUUGCGGUUAAAAAGCUCGUAGUUGGAUUUCUGCCGAGGACGACUGGUCCGCCCUCUGGGUGAGCAUCUAGUUCGGCCUGGGCAUCUUCUUGGAGAACGUAGCUGCACUUGACUGUGUGGUGCGGUAUCCAGGACUUUUACCUUGAGGAAAUUAGAGUGUUUCAAGCAGGCACACGCCUUGAAUACAUUAGCAUGGAAUAAUAAUAUAGGACCUCGGUUCUAUUUUGUUGGUUUCUAGAACUUGGGUAAUGAUUAAUAGGGACAAUUGGGGGCAUUCGUAUUAACGCGUCAGAGGUGAAAUUCUUAGAUUGCGUUACGGCGAACUACUGCGAAAGCAUUUGCCAAAGAUGUUUUCAUUGAUCAAGAACGAAAGUAUGGGAUCGAAGAUGAUUAGAUACCGU
RNAcentral lists this ribosomal RNA (421 nucleotides) under uncultured eukaryote. RNAcentral describes it as "SSU rRNA". It matches the Rfam family "Eukaryotic small subunit ribosomal RNA", at positions 592 to 1018 of the family's 1831-position model. The record is from RNAcentral.